Molecule: long non-coding RNA, 2334 nt
Organism: Carcharodon carcharias (great white shark)
Lineage: Eukaryota; Metazoa; Chordata; Chondrichthyes; Lamniformes; Lamnidae
Exons: 5
Source: RefSeq, a predicted model, not a curated record
GAACAAUCUGGAAAGAGCUUCGACGUUUCUAGUUUGGAAACAAAACUUUAAAGAAGAUGCAUUUCUGAUUCACAUUUAGUCAACUGUUGCACUCCAAUGGAGGCUUUCCUGAAGCAGUAACCUGUGUUUUACCAGUGCUAACAGGCCUGUAUUUUCCAGCAUUUUCUAUAUUUUUAUAUAUUUCAUAUAUAUUUAUAUAUUCCUUCUGUAAGAUCUGUAUUAAUUCUUUUUAUCACUCUCAUAGGACUACUGCUUUCCAUCUAGGAGGGACAGACAAGGUGGAGAUGAAAUUGUACUUGGCUUAGAUGCAAAACAGGUGUAAUUGCUUUUUCCAACUGUUACAGCACAGCACCAAUAUUCAGCAUUGAAAUUAGUGCUAGGGCACAUAACGAGUGAUCAAUAUCCUCUGUGCUGUAAACUUCUUUGUUAAUUCCAUUAAUACUAAAAAUAUUGGUGACAGAAUAUGAUAUUUAUUAAUGCUGGACAAGACUCCCACCAGUUUUCUAUCUUUGAUUCCUCAAGAGGAAGUUCUCCAUUGUGAAAGGCAACACAUUUUUGUUCAUAUAAAUUGUGAUCAACAUACGAAAUGAAAUUCUAGAUAAGUAGAAGAAUCCAGCCGGUUGAGGAAGAGACUGGACACGAGCAUUUAGCCACUGCCCUGCAGAUUUGGAGGAGGCAGCUUGCAUGCUGAUUUUCUAUUAAAUCUCUGGAAGGAGAUUGGGAAAACUCUGGAAUCUCAAGAAUAAUAUAUAUAUAUAACAGCUGCAGCUCCAGUACAGUGAAAAGAUGCAGUCCCUAACACUGUAAACUGGAACAUUUAAUCAAUAUUACAUUAUUCUGACAUUAGAAGAGAUAGUGCAUUGAACAUACAAUACUGCAUAACAGUUACAAAUAAACCCAAAAUAUGAUUAUCACACAAGAAAUAGGCAAUUUUUCUUAACCAAAAGCUUCAACUUCAAAACCAAUAAAUUCCUCUUUUAAUGAAAAAUGGCAGAUUUUUUAAAAACAGAGAAUAGAAAAUUUCUGCUUUUCUCACUAAGUAAUAGCCCCUUAAAAUUACAAGAGUGUACAAUUUUGAAAAGUACAAUUUCUGUUGGGCCAUUAGUUAUAAGGAAAAAAGCAGGAAUUCUGCUUUUCUGCAUUAAACAAGUAACAUCACUCAUUGAGCCUUUAAUUUUAUAUUUAUAUAUAGGUCAUUGUAAUUUGGGCAUUAAUUAACAGGGGUGUUGCAGAUAAUGCAAAAAAUAACCAGAUCUGUGAUUCGUUUUCCAUUUGCAAGCUCAAGAGAGCCCCAGCUUAGAUAUGAAGACUUCAUUCAGGUCGGAAUAAAAGCAUGGUAACUAUUGCAGUUGGCAGAUGGUAUUCUAUAACAAUAGUAUUUCAAAUGUCACAACUGUUUUCGAAUUUCUAGGGAUGCUGUAGUAUAGUGCAUUUGUUACAGGACCAGUAACCUAGAAGCCUGGGCUAAUCAACUGCAGACAUGAGUUCAAUCCCAACAUUGCAGUUGGGGAAUUUAAAUUCAGUUAAGUAAAUAAGUCUGGGAUAAAAAUCCAGUAACAGUAAUGGUUAGCAUGAAACUUUUAGAUUGUGGUUAAAAUCCAUCUGGUUCACUAAUGUACUUGAAGGAAGGAAAUCUGUCACCUUAGCUAUCAGGAAUGUGGCUCUUAUGUGACUCUUAACUGCCCUUUAAAAUGGCCUAGCAAGCCACUCAUUUGUAACAAUUUGCUGCAAAACAAAACUCACAGAUUGCCCAGUUCAAGAAGGCAGCUCACCACCAAAUUUUCCAAGGCAAUUAGGGGUGGGCAAUAAAUGCUGAUAUUGUCAUUGAAACCCACAUUCUAUGACCGAAUAAAACACUUAAUUUGUUCUACAUCCCAGAAUAUAAUUUGUUCCUGAUUUAACUCACUCAAUCACUUCCCCAGAACCACCUCAUCCAAUUCAGGGCCAGGGAGUCGGAGCCUAUCCCAACUGGCAAAGGGCACUAGGUGGAGUACACCCAGGACAGGAUGCCAGUCCAUCACAGGGCACACACUCGCACGCGCACUAAGGGGUAAUUUUUUGUAGCCAAUCCAUCUAACCAGCAUAUCUUUGGAUGGUGGGAAGAAACUGGAGCACCAGGAGGAAACCCACACAGAUAUGGAAAGAACGUGCAAUCUCCACACCCAGACAGACACCCGAGGUCAGAAUCGAACCCAGGUCCCUGAAGCUGUGAGGCAGCAGCGCUAACCACUGUGCCACGUGCUGCUCCCUGUAAUUGAACCGUAAUUUAAAAAUAAAAUAUUUGUAUGUAAAAGCACUUUAAUCCAGACCUGAAUGAAAAAUACUCUACACGAA